Molecule: long non-coding RNA, 887 nt
Filed under: Homo sapiens (human)
Lineage: Eukaryota; Metazoa; Chordata; Mammalia; Primates; Hominidae
Description: non-protein coding lnc-PTRHD1-1:1
Source: RNAcentral
CUACGACAUCUGGGGCAAUACAGUCAAUGUAGCCAGCAGGAUGGAGUCCACGGGGGUCAUGGGCAACAUUCAGUGGCGUCUGGCAGAAAAGCUCCACGAAAGGGGCAAAGGGACAGAAGAGCAGGCAGUGGCAGUUUCCAGGUGGUAGAAGAAACCCAAGUCAUCCUCCGAGAGUACGGCUUCCGCUUUGUGAGGCGAGGCCCCAUCUUUGUGAAGGGGAAGGGGGAGCUGCUGACCUUCUUCUUGAAGGGGCGGGAUAAGCUAGCCACCUUCCCCAAUGGCCCCUCUGUCACACUGCCCCACCAGGUGGUGGACAACUCCUGAAUGGCCUCGAGCCUGCAACAGUCCAAACCGGAAGGGAGAAUUUAUUUUUUGAAACUGAAGGAAGUCCCGACCUUCCUGGAUUGAAGUGCACACUCAUGGACUUUAGGUUUAGAAACCUCCUCAGCCUUCAUUUGUUCGUGGAUGUGUGAGCUCUGAGGGUGGCCCUGCUAUUCCUGUGUGUGCCUGUAGUGUCCCCAGCAUAGGGGUCUUAGGCAUAGGGCUGAACAGUCCUUCCAGAGCCCUCGUUCCAAUCCCUGCCGUCCUUGCCCCUGAGGGGCCCUGACCACUGUGAGCAGGAGGGUGGCAGAGCUGGGACAAAGCUGCCUUUGCCGCUGGGCUUUCCGGGACUGUGGAGGGAGCACAGGCGGGGAAGCUCCACUUCAGACAGGGCUUGGUGGGGCAGGACAUGGCUCCCAUUUUGAAGGGAGGUCUCCAUGUGGUCCGAGUGAGGUGAGACGGCCCUCGUCCUGGUGUUCCUGAUCAUCUUGAAAGGUUCUUCUGGAACUCCUGUCCCCUUAGUCAUGAGAACAGAAAGUGCAAUAUUUCCUUUCACCUGGCAGGGG